RNAcentral lists this ribosomal RNA (175 nucleotides) under uncultured bacterium. Its description in RNAcentral is "partial 16S ribosomal RNA". It matches the Rfam family "Bacterial small subunit ribosomal RNA", at positions 118 to 311 of the family's 1533-position model. The record is from RNAcentral.
UGGGAACGUGCCCUUCAGUUCGGGACAACCCAGGGAAACUUGGGCUAAUACCGGAUACGUCCGUAAGGAGAAAGAUUUAUCGCUGAAGGAUCGGCCCUCGUCUGAUUAGCUAGUUGGUGGGUAAUGGCCCACCAAGGCUACGAUCAGUAGCUGGUCUGAGAGGAUGGCCAGCCAC